Molecule: small RNA, 131 nt
Filed under: Sinorhizobium meliloti 2011
Lineage: Bacteria; Pseudomonadati; Pseudomonadota; Alphaproteobacteria; Hyphomicrobiales; Rhizobiaceae
Description: putative ncRNA
Source: RNAcentral
AUCGCGUGCGUUGGAGAAGGUUGCCGCCUGUCGAAGCCUUGUUUCGUAUCUGGCCGGAGGCGCCCGCCAGCAGCGCCUGAGACAGAGCCGGGUAGCGGGACCUGACUAUCGGAUCGGCGGCGAGAUCGCUA